RNAcentral lists this unclassified non-coding RNA (89 nucleotides) under Pseudomonas libanensis. The record is from RNAcentral. Lineage: Bacteria; Pseudomonadati; Pseudomonadota; Gammaproteobacteria; Pseudomonadales; Pseudomonadaceae.
UGUGGGAGCUGGCUUGCCUGCGAUAGCGUUGGUUCAGAGGCAUAGAUGCUAGCUGACCUACCGCUAUCGCAGGCAAGCCAGCUCCCACA